AAAUACUUCCAGGGGAGCCUGCCUAAGCAGGCUGAGAGUGGGAUGUGUUUCCCUGACCCUCAUAACCUGAUUUGGGUAAUGCCAACGUAGGGAUGGUUCCGGUUAAACUUU
This 111-nucleotide non-coding RNA is filed under the name Dethiobacter alkaliphilus. RNAcentral's name for it is "TPP sequence". It matches the Rfam family "TPP riboswitch aptamer (THI element)". From Rfam's summary of the family: Vitamin B(1) in its active form thiamin pyrophosphate (TPP) is an essential coenzyme that is synthesised by coupling of pyrimidine and thiazole moieties in bacteria. The previously detected thiamin-regulatory element, thi box was extended, resulting in a new, highly conserved RNA secondary structure, the THI element, which is widely distributed in eubacteria and also occurs in some archaea. RNAcentral also lists the same sequence under 1 other name. The record is from RNAcentral. Lineage: Bacteria; Bacillati; Bacillota; Dethiobacteria; Dethiobacterales; Dethiobacteraceae.